CACGUAGGGUGCAAGCGUUGUCCGGAAUCAUUGGGCGUAAAGAGCACGCAGGCGGUUUGGCAAGUCGGAUGUGAAAACCCGAAGCUCAACUUCGGGCCUGCAUCCGAAACUGCCCGACUAGAGGUAGGUAGGGGAGAUCGGAAUUCCUGGUGUAGCGGUGAAAUGCGCAGAUAUCAGGAGGAACACCGGUGGCGAAGGCGGAUCUCUGGGCCUUACCUGACGCUCAGGUGCGAAAGCUAGGGGAGCGAACAGG
RNAcentral lists this ribosomal RNA (253 nucleotides) under uncultured bacterium. RNAcentral's name for it is "partial 16S ribosomal RNA". It matches the Rfam family "Bacterial small subunit ribosomal RNA", at positions 524 to 776 of the family's 1533-position model. The record is from RNAcentral.